GACGAACGCUGGCGGCGUGCUUAACACAUGCAAGUCGAACGGAAAGGCUCCAGCUUGCUGGAGUACUCGAGUGGCGAACGGGUGAGUAACACGUGGGUAAUCUGCCCUGCACUCUGGGAUAAGCCUGGGAAACUGGGUCUAAUACUGGAUAUGACCUUUCUCCUUAUGGGGUUUGGUGGAAAGUUUUUCGGUGUAGGAUGAGCCCGCGGCCUAUCAGCUUGUUGGUGGGGUGAUGGCCUACCAAGGCGACGACGGGUAGCCGGCCUGAGAGGGUGAUCGGCCACAUUGGGACUGAGAUACGGCCCAGACUCCUACGGGAGGCAGCAGUGGGGAAUAUUGCACAAUGGGCGGAAGCCUGAUGCAGCGACGCCGCGUGAGGGAUGACGGCCUUCGGGUGGUAAACCUCUUUCAGCAGGGACGAAGCGUAAGUGACGGUACCUGCAGAAGAAGCACCGGCUAACUAUGU
RNAcentral lists this ribosomal RNA (466 nucleotides) under uncultured bacterium. RNAcentral's name for it is "partial 16S ribosomal RNA". It matches the Rfam family "Bacterial small subunit ribosomal RNA", at positions 28 to 506 of the family's 1533-position model. The record is from RNAcentral.